UAGUUUAGUGUUGGGGCAAUCUUGGGGGGGAUUCUUCUCUAAUCUUUCAGAAACUUUGUCUGCGAACACUCUUUAAUGGACCAGAUCAGGAUUUGAGCGGAAGAACGAAUGUAACUUUAAGAGGCAUUUCAUCCUUCAUGAAGCUGUUCAGGAUUUUGAAUUGCAUAUGAGUGCUUGGCUCUUCCUUCUGUUCUCCUAACUUCACAGAGAAUGCAGUUGUCUUGACUUCAGGUCUGUCUGUUCUGUUGGCAAGUAAAUGCAGUACUGUUCUGAUCCCGCUGCUAUUAGAAUGCAUUGUGAAACGACUGGAGUAUGAUUAAAAGUUGUGUUCCCCAA
This 336-nucleotide long non-coding RNA is filed under the name Pan troglodytes (chimpanzee). RNAcentral's name for it is "lincRNA". The record is from RNAcentral. Lineage: Eukaryota; Metazoa; Chordata; Mammalia; Primates; Hominidae.